UCCCCAGCGGUGUGUCCUUAUCCCUAACAGAGCUUCGGCCUUCCCAGCGGAGUUCGUAGUUCUUCAGCAGGUAGAUCGCCACCAGAAGAUGUGUGAUCUCUCCCUAGUAGAUCGCUUUGGUAUCUCCACCAAUCGUUGUACCUUUGCUCCCAGUCAGAGUUUCCUCCUGGUUUCUGAGCGGCUUUUUUUUUUCUCCCCAGUAGGGUUGUCUCCCAUUUUUAUGGUGUCGACCUAAAAUUCCCUACAGUUGGAUGCGUA
Molecule: long non-coding RNA, 258 nt
Filed under: Lathyrus oleraceus (garden pea)
Lineage: Eukaryota; Viridiplantae; Streptophyta; Magnoliopsida; Fabales; Fabaceae
Description: Pisum sativum (pea) long non-coding RNA (PSAT_LNC015311)
Source: RNAcentral